This 253-nucleotide ribosomal RNA is filed under the name uncultured bacterium. RNAcentral's name for it is "partial 16S ribosomal RNA". It matches the Rfam family "Bacterial small subunit ribosomal RNA", at positions 524 to 776 of the family's 1533-position model. The record is from RNAcentral.
GACAUAGGUCGCAAACGUUAUCCGGAAUUAUUGGGCGUAAAGGGUGCGUAGAUGGUAGGAUAAGUUAUCAGUGGUAAAUCGAGGCUCAACCUCGUGGAAGCUGAUAAUACUGUUCCACUUGAGUGCAGAAGAGGUUAACGGAACUCCCUGUGGAGCGGUGAAAUGUGUCGAUAUAGGGAAGAACACCAACGGCGAAGGCAGCUCGCUGGGACGGUACUGACGCUGAGACGCGAAAGCGUGGGGAGCGAACAGG